RNAcentral lists this unclassified non-coding RNA (263 nucleotides) under plant metagenome. RNAcentral describes it as "partial contains small subunit ribosomal RNA and internal transcribed spacer 1". The stretch from base 1 to 54 matches the Rfam family "Eukaryotic small subunit ribosomal RNA", at positions 1778 to 1831 of the family's 1831-position model. The record is from RNAcentral.
GGAAGUAAAAGUCGUAACAAAGUUUCCGUAAGGUAACCUGCGGAAGGAUCAUUCACAGUAAGUGUUUUAGGGCACUUUUCAAACAAGCCAUCUCCACCUUGUGUGCAACGUUAUGGGACCCUCUAGCGGUCUCUUUUAGGUUACUGACGAGGGAAUCUGUACGACUUACGAACAUCACCUUUCACUUAUUUGUCUGAACAUUUGUUAUCACGAAUUAACUUAAUUAGAAAAUACAACUUUCAACAACGGAUCUCAUGGCUCUC